RNAcentral lists this long non-coding RNA (295 nucleotides) under Mustela putorius furo (domestic ferret). Its description in RNAcentral is "lncRNA (ENSMPUG00000028349.1)". The record is from RNAcentral. Lineage: Eukaryota; Metazoa; Chordata; Mammalia; Carnivora; Mustelidae.
UUGGGAUCUGCUGGGUAAUUAGGAGGAAGGAAAACAGGAGACCUGAGGUGACAGAACGAAGUGAACAAGGCGAGACCGAACCACACCAUCCAUUCACAGGCCUUCAACGUGGCCUCCCCGAAGCCUGGCUGAGCCCACGGGACGUGAGCGGAGACCCGUCUUCUCUUCUGCUGGUGGAAGAGUUGAACGGUGGUACCUGUUAGGGUAAGGGGACACGCAGCAGGCUGUGGGUGUCGUGGGGGCAGAGUACUUGCAAAAGGAAUUUCCCAGAGCAGGGCCUGAACGAGGGGGAGGC